CUACGGGAUGCAGCAGCAAGGAAUAUUGGGCAAUGGGCGAAAGCCUGACCCAGCGACACCGCGUGGGGGAAGAAGGCCUUCGGGUUGUAAACCCCUUUUAUCAGGGAAGAUAAUGACGGUACCUGAUGAAUAAGCCUCGGCUAACUACGUGCCAGCAGCCGCGGUAAUACGUAGGAGGCAAGCGUUAUCCGGAUUUACUGGGCGUAAAGCGGGUGUAGGCGGCCUGUCAAGUCCGGCGUGAAAUCCCCCGGCCUAACUGGGAGGGUGCGUUGGAUACUGAUGGGCUAGAGUGCAGCAGAGGAAGGUGGAAUUCCCGGUGUAGUGGUGAAAUGCGUAGAUAUCGGGAAGAACACUAGUGGCGAAGGCGGCCUUCUGGGCUGUAACUGACGCUGAGGCCCGAAGGCGUGGGUAGCAAACAGGAUUAGAUACCCCGGUAGUC
RNAcentral lists this ribosomal RNA (439 nucleotides) under uncultured bacterium. RNAcentral describes it as "partial 16S ribosomal RNA". It matches the Rfam family "Bacterial small subunit ribosomal RNA", at positions 339 to 795 of the family's 1533-position model. The record is from RNAcentral.